GCACUUCUGAGGAGUCCUACUAUAGGACGAAAUGAUCGUCCAGUGC
This 46-nucleotide non-coding RNA is filed under the name Schistosoma haematobium. Lineage: Eukaryota; Metazoa; Platyhelminthes; Trematoda; Strigeidida; Schistosomatidae. The record is from RNAcentral.